CUAAGGAGAAAUAGACAUUUGCGCUGUUCAAUUUUGAGGGUCUUGUGACCGCUAACUGAUAAGUGAUUAUCUGGUAGUGGAAAUGAGAGCUUUCUGAAAUUUAACUUUUGUUAAAUUUCAUUGUUCCUUGAAAAUUGCAUAUAGAAUCGACAUUAAAACACAACUUCGUUGUGUUGACGACGUGAGAAACGUAAGUUUCUUUGGAGUCCGCGCAAUGGAAGUGUUAUAAAACACUGUAUUUUAAAAAAGUCGUUUGAUGCAAGGCUUAAGCGCCGUGUAUUAAAUGCA
This 288-nucleotide unclassified non-coding RNA is filed under the name uncultured Alkaliphilus sp. RNAcentral's name for it is "16S-23S ribosomal RNA intergenic spacer". Lineage: Bacteria; Bacillati; Bacillota; Clostridia; Peptostreptococcales; Natronincolaceae. The record is from RNAcentral.